GGCGGAGCGCCGCGAAGACACGCCCCGGCGGAACACGCGCUGCCGCCGCUUCCACUGCUCCUCGGCUUUCAGCCGCUUGCGGUGCUUCUGAAUCUGCAGAACCAGAGAGAGGGGCCAGGCUGAUGAGGACCUUGCAGAUGGUCAUUGACAAGAACCGUAUGGCGACGACGGGCAGCAGGCACACCGCAACAGUCAGCAUGAUGGUCAACCAAAUGUAUGGCUGCCUCAGGGCAUUUGAUGCUGUGCCUGUGAAAACACGGAGAAUGAAUCCCAGGGUUCCUUCAUCCUAAGGGCAGUGUGCCCAGUCUGUCCCGAGUGCCCCCAUCAGCCUGAGGCUCCUACCUGGUCAAGCAGCCCCAUGAGGAGCACGGGCAGGCUGGAGUACAGCACGUUGUACAGCGUGAUGAACCAGUCUUCGUACGCCGUCUGUGAGGACAUUACAGAGCCGCUGUGUCACAAACCAAGACCUACUGCCCGCCUAGUCAACAUGCAUUCAUCUCUCUCGGAGUGGAGGAGGCCCCAGGCUGUGUGCAGCUUCUGCCAGAGUAAACACCCCUCCUCUGCAUCUGCCCAAGAGUACCCAUUGAAGAAGGAAUACCAGAAAUGAACCAAAGUAAAUGCAAAGUUUUUAUAAAAGAAGUAUCGUAGGAACUUGCACAUCCUUAUGUAAGACCACCGGCCAUGCACCAACAACAGUCUCUG
Molecule: long non-coding RNA, 702 nt
Organism: Zalophus californianus (California sea lion)
Lineage: Eukaryota; Metazoa; Chordata; Mammalia; Carnivora; Otariidae
Exons: 4
Source: RefSeq, a predicted model, not a curated record